Molecule: long non-coding RNA, 231 nt
Filed under: Malus domestica (apple)
Lineage: Eukaryota; Viridiplantae; Streptophyta; Magnoliopsida; Rosales; Rosaceae
Description: long non-coding RNA (MDOM_LNC013272)
Source: RNAcentral
GAGUGACCUUGGAGUAAUAGGAUUGCUAGAUGUACCCUCCAAGGUGUUGGCCUCUUUAGAGAGAAAAUGGAGAGACAAUUCUCACCAAUUUUCCCCCAAAAUAAACCCUUAAUUUUUCCUUAAUGAAUUUUGGCUAUAAAGUCAUUUAUAUAGUCACUUCUUUUUGUAACCUAAACAACCAAAACCCUAAUUCAUCUAAUAUGGCCGGCCAUUUAGGGAUGUUUGGGCUUU